CGUGAGCAAUCUGCCUUGGAGUGGGGAAUAACGGCUGGAAACAGCCGCUAAUACCGCAUGAAGCAGCUGGGAGGCAUCUCCCUGGCUGCCAAAGAUUUAUCGCUCUGAGAUGAGCUCGCGUCUGAUUAGCUGGUUGGCGGGGUAACGGCCCACCAAGGCGACGAUCAGUAGCCGGACUGAGAGGUUGGCCGGCCACAUUGGGACUGAGACACGGCCCAGACUCCUACGGGAGGCAGCAG
Molecule: ribosomal RNA, 239 nt
Filed under: uncultured bacterium
Lineage: Bacteria
Description: partial 16S ribosomal RNA
Rfam family: Bacterial small subunit ribosomal RNA
Source: RNAcentral